UACGUAGGGGGCAAGCGUUGUCCGGAAUCAUUGGGCGUAAAGCGCGUGUAGGCGGUUCGGUAAGUCUGCUGUGAAAGUCCAGGGCUCAACCCUGGGAUGCCGGUGGAUACUGUCGGACUAGAGUACGGAAGAGGCGAGUGGAAUUCCCGGUGUAGAGGUGAAAUUCGUAGAUAUCGGGAGGAACACCUGUGGCGAAGGCGGCCAUCUGGACAACUACCGACACUGAGACGCGAAAGCGUGGGUAGCAAACAGG
Molecule: ribosomal RNA, 253 nt
Filed under: uncultured bacterium
Lineage: Bacteria
Description: partial 16S ribosomal RNA
Rfam family: Bacterial small subunit ribosomal RNA
Source: RNAcentral